Molecule: transfer RNA, 120 nt
Filed under: Euroglyphus maynei
Lineage: Eukaryota; Metazoa; Arthropoda; Arachnida; Sarcoptiformes; Pyroglyphidae
Rfam family: tRNA
About the family: Transfer RNA (tRNA) molecules are approximately 80 nucleotides in length.
Source: Rfam by way of RNAcentral
GCCUGCAUAGUUUAGUGGCAGAACGUUGGUCUUGUAUUCCAUUUCCAGUUCCGUUUGUAAAUGUAAAAAAUGGGUUAUUUGGUUAACCAAAGGUCGUGAGUUCGAUUCUCACUGUAGGCA